ACGUUUUACUCCUACUCCACUACCUCCCUCCUCAAUCCAUUUCGUCUUCCUCCUGGAUCCUCUUUCUGGUCGAGCUCGCCGGGGACACCGCGGCUCGCCGCAGCAACGCCAGCCAUAGGAACGGGCGGGAUCCACCGGCCCUCCGUCCGGCUCGACGUCCACGCCCCAGGGUCCAACAUGCAGGCCCGCUGGACAACGCCGUGAAUUGCCUCAUUUUUCCACAAACUUUUGGACCGAGGCCGCCUUCCUCUGUUCCGUCAGCCGCCGUUGCGACGCUGUCACGGUCGUCCUCCUCCCCGAGCAACUUCAGGGACCGUGACGGGCCCCGCGUCUCCUCUGGACCAAGAAUUCGAAGCAGCGGGUCUCUCCUACUUCUUCCUUGAAGCUGACUGCCGUUGCUGCCGUCCUGAAUUCGCUGUCGUUCGUCCCCAUGCCGUCCAGCCUCGCUACAAACAGUAGGGGAGUUCUAGCGACACAUUAUACAAGGAGCUAUGGCAUGCUUGCGCUAGGCCGUUGAUCACAGUGCCUCGCCAAGGUGAAAGGAUUUACCACUUUCCGCAUGUUUACAUGGAACAGGAUGCUAGAGCACCUUCACUUCCCAAACAUAAUAAAGGCUGGCACUGCAAAAAAUCAGGGCGUCUCAAGAAGUACUGUGAAUGCUUUCAAGCAAAUAUUCUUUGCUCCAAGAAUUGUAAAUGUAUGGAUUGCAAGAACUUCGAAGGAAGUGAGGAACUAUAGGCUAUAACUCAAGGGGAUAAUGCAUCUGAUAAAAAUAACAUUCAGCAAACAGCUAAUGUCACUCUGAAUGGUGCCAUUGGAUCCUCUGGAUAUAAAUAUUCACCUGUACGUAGAGAAAGACACCCAGAAGACCCCCUUGGUCCUGAGGUAAUUUCAAGUUAGCUAGUUCUGCAACUUCAAGCAAUCUGCCAUUUUAAGUCAGAUCUCGUGUAACACAUCUAUUUUGUUGCUAGUUUCCUUUUAUUUCUGCUUCAGCUAUAAAUCCAGUUGGGUGUACAUCCACUUGAUCA
Aegilops tauschii subsp. strangulata is the source of this 1028-nucleotide long non-coding RNA. RefSeq lists it as uncharacterized. NCBI's taxonomy places the organism in Eukaryota, Viridiplantae, Streptophyta, Magnoliopsida, Poales, Poaceae. The record is from RefSeq and is a predicted model, not a curated record.